This 1295-nucleotide ribosomal RNA is filed under the name Paracercion melanotum. RNAcentral's name for it is "16S ribosomal RNA". The stretch from base 562 to 1295 matches the Rfam family "Archaeal large subunit ribosomal RNA", at positions 1423 to 2848 of the family's 2987-position model. The record is from RNAcentral. Lineage: Eukaryota; Metazoa; Arthropoda; Insecta; Odonata; Coenagrionidae.
UUGGAGAAGUAAUUUUUUAUUAAGUAAUAUUUUUUGAAAGAUACUUUUUAGUAAUAGUUUAUUAGUACUGUAAAGGAAUAUUUUAAAUAAAUUGAAAAAUUUUAUUUUUAUAAGUAUAUUUUAUUUAUAUUACCUUUUGUAUCAGGGUUGAUCUAAUUUUUAUAAUAUAUUUUGCCUCCUCGAUUUUAUAAGAGCUAAUAAUUUAUUUUAUUUUAUGUGUUAAAAUAAUUAAUAAUAUUUAUUAGGGGGGAAAUCUCAUUCGUUUAUAAGGGUAUCUAGUUUUUUAAGAAUUAAAUUUAAUUUAAUCCUGAAACUUACUUUUUUCUUUUUUAUUUAUUUAUUUUUUAGGUUAUAACUAGUGGGGGAUAAGCUCUGCUUUUUACUAUAAAAUUUUAUUUUGAUAAUUUUAGUAGGCCUAAAAUCAACCAUCUUUAAAUUACGUUAUAGUUUAUUUUAUUUUUAUUUGAUUUUCUUCUUUUUAGUUUUUUAUUAAAAUAAUUUAUUUAACUUUAUUAUAAUUGUAAUAAUGAUUAAAUUAGUAUAAAUUUUUGUUUGCUAUUUAUUUUUCUUUAAUUAUAAUUAAGGAACUCGGCAAAUCUAAUUUUCGCCUGUUUAUCAAAAACAUGUCCUCAUGUUUUUAUUUGAGGUUUGGCCUGCCCGGUGAUUUUAAUUUAACGGCCGCGGUAUAUUGACCGUGCAAAGGUAGCAUAAUCAUUAGUCUUUUAAUAGGAGGCUGGAAUGAAAGGUUUAACGAAAAAUUAGCUGUCUCAAUUAUAAAUUUGAAUUUAACUUUUAAGUUAAAAGGCUUAAAUUUUUUUGUAGGACGAGAAGACCCUAUAGAGCUUUACAUUUAAUAUUUUGUUAUAUUGAUUUAGAUUAAUAUUUUUAAUUAACUUUAAAAAAUGUUUUGUUGGGGUGACAAGAAAUAUAUAUUUAACUUUUAUUAUUAUAUUUUCAUUAAUUUAUGAUUAUUGGAUCCAAAAUUUUUGAUCAUUAGAAUAAGUUACCUUAGGGAUAACAGCGUAAUCUUCCCUCAGAGUUCAAAUUUACGGGAAGGGUUGCGACCUCGAUGUUGGAUUAAGAUAACAGUUGGGUGCAGUAGCUCAAUUUGUAGGUCUGUUCGACCUUUAAAUUCUUACAUGAUCUGAGUUCAGACCGGUUUAAGCCAGGUCGGUUUCUAUCCUCAAAUUUAUUUUAGUUUUUAGUACGAAAGGACCAUUACUAUGAAAUAAUUUUUAUUAUUUGAUUUUCAUUAACUAUUUUGGCAGAAAAGUGCGAUGAAUUUAGAAUUCAUU